Molecule: ribosomal RNA, 449 nt
Filed under: uncultured bacterium
Lineage: Bacteria
Description: partial 16S ribosomal RNA
Rfam family: Bacterial small subunit ribosomal RNA
Source: RNAcentral
GCCAGACUCCUACGGGAGGCAGCAGUGGGGAAUAUUGCACAAUGGGGGAAACCCUGAUGCAGCAACGCCGCGUGAAGGAAGACGGUUUUCGGAUUGUAAACUUCUAUCAAUAGGGAAGAAAGAAAUGACGGUACCUAAAUAAGAAGCCCCGGCUAACUACGUGCCAGCAGCCGCGGUAAUACGUAGGGGGCAAGCGUUAUCCGGAUUCACUGGGUGUAAAGGGAGCGUAGACGGCCAAGCAAGCCAGGGGUGAAAGCCCGGGGCCCAACCCCGGGACUGCCCUUGGAACUGCAUGGCUGGAGUGCGGGAGGGGCAGGCGGAAUUCCUGGUGUAGCGGUGAAAUGCGUAGAUAUUAGGAGGAACACCAGUGGCGAAGGCGGCCUUCUGGACGACAACUGACGGUGAGGCGCGAAAGCGUGGGGAGCAAACAGGAUUAGAUACCCCAGUAA